CGGCGUGCCUAAUACAUGCAAGUCGAACGGUCUUUUCUAUGGAAGCUUGCUUCCACUGAGAAGAUAGUGGCGAACGGGUGAGUAACACGUGGGGUAACCUGCCCAUAAGAGGGGGGAUAACAUCCGGAAACGGGUGCUAAUACCGCAUAGUUUUCUUGAUCGCAUGAUCGGGAAAGGAAAGACGGCCUUUGUGCUGUCGCUUAUGGAUGGACCCGCGGCGUAUUAGUUAGUUGGUGAGGUAACGGCUCACCAAGACGAUGAUACGUAGCCGACCUGAGAGGGUGAUCGGCCACAUUGGGACUGAGACACGGCCCAAACUCCUACGGGAGGCAGCAGUAGGGAAUCUUCCGCAAUGGACGAAAGUCUGACGGAGCAACGCCGCGUGAGUGAAGAAAGGUUUUCGGAUCGUAAAACUCUGUUGUCAGAGAAGAACAAGUUGGAGAGUAACUGCUCCAGCCUUGACGGUAUCUGACCAGAAAGCCACGGCUAACUACGUGCCAGCCGCAGC
RNAcentral lists this ribosomal RNA (508 nucleotides) under uncultured bacterium. Its description in RNAcentral is "bacterial SSU rRNA". It matches the Rfam family "Bacterial small subunit ribosomal RNA", at positions 40 to 518 of the family's 1533-position model. The record is from RNAcentral.